RNAcentral lists this ribosomal RNA (253 nucleotides) under uncultured bacterium. Its description in RNAcentral is "partial 16S ribosomal RNA". It matches the Rfam family "Bacterial small subunit ribosomal RNA", at positions 524 to 776 of the family's 1533-position model. The record is from RNAcentral.
UACGUAGGGUGCGAGCGUUGUCCGGAAUUACUGGGCGUAAAGAGUUCGUAGGCGGUUUGUCGCGUCGUUCGUGAAAACUUGGGGCUUAACUCCAAGCGUGCGGGCGAUACGGGCAGACUUGAGUACUACAGGGGAGACUGGAAUUCCAGGUGUAGCGGUGAAAUGCGUAGAUAUCUGGAGGAACACCGGUGGCGAAGGCGGCGUUCUGGACUGCUACUGACACUGAGGAACGAAAGCCAGGGGAGCAAACGGG